GGACCCGCACAAGUAGUGGAGCAUGUGGUUUAAUUCGAAGAUACGCGCAGAACCUUACCAACACUUGACAUGUUCGUCGCGACUUUAAGAGAUUAAAGUUUUCGGUUCGGCCGGACGAAACACAGGUGCUGCAUGGCUGUCGUCAGCUCGUGUCGUGAGAUGUUGGUUAAGUCCCGCAACGAGCGCAACCCUCACUUUUAGUUGCCAUCAUUUAGUUGGGCACUCUGAAAGAACUGCCAGUGAUAAGCUGGAGGAAGGUGGGGAUGACGUCAAGUCCUCAUGGCCCUUACGUGUUGGGCUACACACGUGCUACAAUGGUAUCUACAACAGGAAGCGAAACGGCGACGUUAAAGCAA
Molecule: ribosomal RNA, 356 nt
Filed under: uncultured bacterium
Lineage: Bacteria
Description: bacterial SSU rRNA
Rfam family: Bacterial small subunit ribosomal RNA
Source: RNAcentral